Molecule: ribosomal RNA, 301 nt
Filed under: uncultured bacterium
Lineage: Bacteria
Description: partial 16S ribosomal RNA
Rfam family: Bacterial small subunit ribosomal RNA
Source: RNAcentral
CAGUAGCCGCGGGAAUACGGAGGGAGCUAGCGUUGUUCGGAAUUACUGGGCGUAAAGCGCACGUAGGCGGUUAUUCAAGUCAGAGGUGAAAGCCCGGGGCUCAACCCCGGAACUGCCUUUGAAACUAGAUGACUGGAAUCUUGGAGAGGUCAGUGGAAUUCCGAGUGUAGAGGUGAAAUUCGUAGAUAUUCGGAAGAACACCAGUGGCGAAGGCGACUGACUGGACAAGUAUUGACGCUGAGGUGCGAAAGCGUGGGGAGCAAACAGGAUUAGAGCCCCGGUAGUCCCUGUCUCUUAUACA